Long non-coding RNA from Prunus persica (peach), 1283 nucleotides. RefSeq lists it as uncharacterized. The record is from RefSeq and is a predicted model, not a curated record. Lineage: Eukaryota; Viridiplantae; Streptophyta; Magnoliopsida; Rosales; Rosaceae. The transcript is spliced from 4 exons.
UUGAACACAUUCAUUUUUAGGUUUACUUCUCAAAUAACAACAAGGUUCUUUUGUACCUGAAAUACCACCUGAGAGAAUCAUAUCUUUUAAACAAAGACAUAAAAGAAUAGUAUCUUGUGCUGCAAAAAUACCCUCGCUUUAUAUCCCAAGACUUUUCUCAUAAUUUGAAUCAACCCAGAAAUGAAUAUAGCUUCCUUUGCAUCUACAUUCAUCCAAAUCCAACAGCCUAACCAAAUCCUCUUGUUCCCUUGUGCCCAAAUCUCUGGAAAAAAAAUAAAAAAGCACUUGCAUUCACUCUGCCAAACUGCUUGUGUCAUCAUUCUUUAUAAAUAUGGUUUAUAAAACUGAAAAUGUAGCAUCACUUGUUUAAUAUAAUUGUUUAUUAAGAUAUGAUAAGCUAGCUAAUUAACCCAAUUACAUGUUGGUGGGUGUUGGAUCAUAUUUAAUUAAGGCUUGGCCAUGGAGUCAAUAGCACAAAUGAGAACUUGGCUUGAAGAAGGGAUAUUGGGAAAUCUCCAAGGUGCAAUUUCAGCAUAGAGAUUAUAAGGAUUCUGAUACUUCAAAGCCACAAUCUUAUCCCUUAUGCAAAGUGCAAAAUCAUCUUCCUCUUUCUAGUUUUUUAUAUUUUAUUAGGAUUAUCACUACUUUUUGGGGAUGAGGAGGAUCCCACUCUCCACUUAAUUUACCUGCUGCUGCACUUUUCUCCCACCACUUAACUGGACCUGUUCUUCUUUCUUAUUCCUCAUUCCAAUAUCCAUAUAUAGACUAGAUACCACACUCUCUUCUUCCAUGUCUUAUUUAAUUUCUCUGAUGACACCAACUACACUUUUCAAUUUCAUCAAGCUUGUUCCAGCAAUUUGGUUAAAUGAGAGAGAGAGAGAGAGAGAGAGAGAGAGAGAGAGAGAGCUCCUACAAGUUUGGGAGGAAAUUUCAUUUUGUCCUUGCCCUGCAACCAGAUUUUGAAAAAGUGGAGCAAAAUAGCUUGCCAGAGUUCUUCAGAGCAUGCAGGAAUAUUGCUACAUAUAUCUAGCUUGGUUGGAAAAGCUUCUGCUCCAGGACGAUACAGCCUCUGCAACCGUGAGAAAAAUCCUGUCUUCGCCGAUCAAGUUUGCGACAUGGGAUGCAUGAAUCUUAUCAAUCACCACUGGACCAGGAUUUGCAAGAACAAGCUGCAGGGCAAUUUGGAGAUACAAAGAUUACACCAAAGAAGGCUCCCAUGCAAGCCACAAAAUCAAAUUUAUCAAUCUUCCAUAUAAGGAUUGCUGCUUGGAAGUCGAUUAGGU